This 251-nucleotide ribosomal RNA is filed under the name uncultured prokaryote. RNAcentral describes it as "partial 16S ribosomal RNA". It matches the Rfam family "Bacterial small subunit ribosomal RNA", at positions 525 to 775 of the family's 1533-position model. The record is from RNAcentral.
CCGUAGGGGACGAGCGUUAUCCGGCUUUCCUGGGCUUCCCUCUCCCUUCUUUUUCCUUUCCCUUUUUCCUUUCCCUCUCCCGUCUUCCCUGGGAGAGGUCGUUCAAAACUGGGGGGCUUGAGGUUGGAAGAGGAGAGCGGAAUUCCCGGUGUAGUGGUGGAAUGCGUAGAUAUCGGGAGGAACACCAGUGGCGAAAGCGGCUCUCUGGUUCAAUACUGACACUGAGAUGCGAAAGCGUGGGGAGCGAACGG